RNAcentral lists this ribosomal RNA (253 nucleotides) under uncultured bacterium. Its description in RNAcentral is "partial 16S ribosomal RNA". It matches the Rfam family "Bacterial small subunit ribosomal RNA", at positions 524 to 776 of the family's 1533-position model. The record is from RNAcentral.
UACGUAGGUGACAAGCGUUGUCCGGAUUUACUGGGCGUAAAGAGCGCGCAGGCGGUCGUUCAAGUCGCGUGUGAAAGCCCCCGGCUCAACUGGGGAGGGUCACGCGAUACUGAUCGACUCGAAGGCAGGAGAGGGAAGUGGAAUUCCCGGUGUAGUGGUGAAAUGCGUAGAUAUUCGCAAGAACACCAGUGGCGAAGGCGGCCGACUGGUCCGGUUCUGACGCUGAGGCGCGAAAGCGUGGGGAGCAAACAGG